GGGAGCUACCAUUUGAUUUUUAUGGGGGGGCUAGGAUGACAAUUGAAAAAAAUAGGCAGGACAGGAGUUUUGAGUAAAAAAAAAGGCAGGAUGAGACACUUUGCCAAAAAAAAAAGGCAGGAUGACAAUUUAGGUAAAAAAAAGUUAGGAUAAACUAAUAAAAAAAAAGGCAGGACCGAAUAGAGUGAAAAAUAAAAAGGCAGGACAGAGAUUACAACUAAAAAAAAAUGCAGGACAAAAUUUUUCAUCCUCGC
This 254-nucleotide long non-coding RNA is filed under the name Mytilus galloprovincialis (Mediterranean mussel). Lineage: Eukaryota; Metazoa; Mollusca; Bivalvia; Mytilida; Mytilidae. The record is from RNAcentral.